RNAcentral lists this ribosomal RNA (253 nucleotides) under uncultured bacterium. RNAcentral's name for it is "partial 16S ribosomal RNA". It matches the Rfam family "Bacterial small subunit ribosomal RNA", at positions 524 to 776 of the family's 1533-position model. The record is from RNAcentral.
UACGUAGGGGGCGAGAGUUGUCCGGAUUUACUGGGUGUAAAGGGUGCUCAGGCGGAUAUACAAGUCAGAGGUGAAAUACCGGGGCUCAACUCCGGCACUGCCUUUGAUACUGUAAGUCUAGAGGUUGAAAGAGGGUAAUGGAAUAUCUGGUGUAGCAGUGAAAUGCGUAGAUAUCAGAUAGAACACCAAUGGCGAAGGCAGUUACCUGGUUCAACACUGACGCUAAAGCACGAAAGUGUGGGGAGCAAACAGG